ACUCCUACGGGAGGCAGCAGUAGGGAAUCUUCCACAAUGGGCGCAAGCCUGAUGGAGCAACACCGCGUGAGUGAAGAAGGGUUUCGGCUCGUAAAGCUCUGUUGUUAAAGAAGAACACGUAUGAGAGUAACUGUUCAUACGUUGGCGGUAUUUAACCAGAAAGUCACGGCUAACUACGUGCCAGCAGCCGCGGUAAUACGUAGGUGGCAAGCGUUAUCCGGAUUUAUUGGGCGUAAAGAGAGUGCAGGCGGUUUUCUAAGUCUGAUGUGAAAGCCUUCGGCUUAACCGGAGAAGUGCAUCGGAAACUGGAUAACUUGAGUGCAGAAGAGGGUAGUGGAACUCCAUGUGUAGCGGUGGAAUGCGUAGAUAUAUGGAAGAACACCAGUGGCGAAGGCGGCUACCUGGUCUGCAACUGACGCUGAGACUCGAAAGCAUGGGUAGCGAACAGGAUUAGAUACCCUGGUAGGAUAGCG
RNAcentral lists this ribosomal RNA (473 nucleotides) under uncultured bacterium. RNAcentral describes it as "bacterial SSU rRNA". It matches the Rfam family "Bacterial small subunit ribosomal RNA", at positions 335 to 801 of the family's 1533-position model. The record is from RNAcentral.